This 69-nucleotide transfer RNA is filed under the name Notonectidae sp. MT-2014. RNAcentral describes it as "tRNA-Phe". Lineage: Eukaryota; Metazoa; Arthropoda; Insecta; Hemiptera; Notonectidae. The record is from RNAcentral.
AUUUAGAUAGCUUAAUUUUUAAAGUAUAAUAUUGAAGAUAUUAGGAUAAGAAUAAUUUCUUUCUAAAUA